GAGCGAACCUAUAAAGAAAAAUGCUUUAUGAGUGUUUGAAUACGGUGAUUCAAAUACCGUGAUUUUUAUGUUUCUUAAACAUUGUACAGUAGUACGACCUGAAAAUGAAUUCAUUUAUAGUCAGGCUCACUCUGAGUAAAGAUCAAUUGAAUGAAUUAGCAAACAUUUAAAGAAAGGUAAAAUAAAGGCGAUUUUGCUUUUACAUUUUACUGUAUAGCAGCAGCAGCUGAUCAAUCUCCUAUUACAGUGAAUAGGAUUACAGUAGGGCUGGGUGAUAAAUCGAUUUUAUCGAUUAACUCGAUUGUGUAGUUCACGUCGAUCUGUUUUAAUAAAAAUCGGUUUUCUCUUUAAUGUCCGCCGACGCUCCCCUCUGGGCUUCCAUUUCGACCGAACUCAGCCCUCUCCCCACGCGUUUGCCAUAGAGAUACACAAACAACAUAGCAGCGAGCAGAGAAGAACUCGUUCCCAAGAAAGGCACAGUGUCAUCUGUAAUUUGGAAUUGGUUCGGUUUUGCUGAGUCAGACGCAGCACAAACACCACCCCGCUGCAAAGUGUGUUUGAAGGCUGUUGCAAGCAAAGGUAGCAGUACCACCAAUUUACUGCAGCACCUCAAACAGAGGCAUGCUGUCGAGUGGGAGAGAUGUAGGGCCCUAAGAAAUAAACAAGACAGUGGCAGCACAAGCACAACUGCCAAAAAACUACCUACAGUCUUACAAACAUUUACAAACUGUGUUCCGUAUGAUAAAAAUUGGGCCCGGUGGAAAGCGAUCACGGAUGCAGUGGCAAUUUAUAUCGCAAAAGAUAUUUUGCCCAUAUGUACUGUGGAAAAGCCGGGGUUUAUUCAUAUGCUGAAAGUUUUGGACCCCAGGUAUGUGCUACCAAGCCGCAAAUAUUUUUGUGAAGUUGCCUUGCCUUAGCUAUAUAAUAAUACACGCCAAAGGAUUGCUAAGGAGUUGUAAGCGGUGACGUUUUACUCCGCCACAGCAGAUUUAUGGUUCAGUCGAACGAUGCAGUCCUAUGAGUUUAACGGUGCACUUUGUUAACGACGACUGGACUCUCCGAAACGUCUGCCUCCAAACGGCGUACUUUCCCGACGACCACAAGGGGGAAAUAAUUGACCAGGGGCUAAAAGAUGCUCUGAGCUCUUGGAACCUCGUUGAAGACCGACUAACCUGUAUGACUACAGACAGCGGCACCAACAUGAUCAAAGCUCUGAAUGACAACGAGUGGCCCAACCUCCAGUGCUUUGGACACAGAUUGCACAAAGCUAUAGAGAAUGGACCCACGGAUCGAACGUGCCAUUGGGGUGUGUAAAAAAGGCUGUUUCUGCCUUUUCUUACAGCUGGAAAAAGAAGAGACAUGACUAAAGUACAGGCGGAGCUUGGUCUACCCACUCAUCAGCUAGUAACGGAGACUACAGAUCAACAGAUGGGGUUGAUAGAUUUCUCGAGCAGCAGAAGGCCAUAGUCCGUGUCCUGGGUUCGGACAAGAUAAGUCGUCAUCUUGUGCCCACUUGGCAAGAUUCAGAUGUUUUGGAGUCCAUAAAUAAAGCUGUGAAACCACUCCAAGACUUUACCGACGCACUCUCUGGGGAGUCUUAUGUCAGUGUUUCCUACAUUAAACCGGUGCUCCAUCUGUUCAAAACCAGUCUCCUACAGCCAGAGGAGGAAGACACAGAGCUCACUAAAACAAUAAAAAGAAACAUAAUGCAGUAACUUGACGAAAAAUACAGCGACCCUGUAAAGGAUGAACUCUUGGACAUGUUCUCACUGAUGGACCCAAGCUUCCGCACAACCUACAUUGACCCAGACAAGGUGGAAUAAAGGGCUGUCCCUGAGGCUGAGCUCAUGUCUCUACCUGCUCCUGCCAACAGCAGUACACCACAGCAGCCUGGCCCAGCAGUGCAGGUGCGACAAGAAGAAGCACAGCCUCCACUCAAGAAAAAGAGGACUUUAGCAGCCUUCUUCAAAAAUAAUGCACCAGUGGCAUCUCCCCACCAGUCAUCGGCAGUAACGUUAGAGACUGAGUUGACGACUUACUUAUUGACCCCUGAGGUAGACCCAGACACAGAUCCCCUUGAGGGGUGGAAGCGCUACCAACCGAAUUUUCCAAGGCUAAGUAGACUGGCAAAAAAAUACCUCUCUGUCCCAGCAACGAAUGCCCCCUCAGAGAGAGUUUUUAGUGUAGGGGGUGGCAUUGUUACAUGUGCAUGCCUCAAGCCAGAGGUAGAAGACUGGCUUUCUGUAGUCCUGGCUAAGAAUGUUUAGAAGAAAAGAAAGGAUGUUCAAACUGCACAACAAAUAUGCACCUUAUGCUCUCAUGCACUGAUAUUUAAUGCUGUUGAACUACCUCCAAUCUGCUGAAUAGCAAGAUGUUAAACUUGUGUUUAAAGAAAACUUAAUUUCUGUAUGAUAAAGUUUUAUGUUGUGUUA
Molecule: long non-coding RNA, 2432 nt
Organism: Silurus meridionalis
Lineage: Eukaryota; Metazoa; Chordata; Actinopteri; Siluriformes; Siluridae
Exons: 2
Source: RefSeq, a predicted model, not a curated record